AUUGAACGCUGGCGGCGUGCCUAACACAUGCAAGUCGAGCGGUAACAGGUGUAGCAAUACAUGCUGACCAGCGGCGAACGGGUGAGUAAUGCUUCGGAAUUUACCCAAUGGUGGGGAAUAACCAGCCGAAAGGUUGGCUAAUACCGCAUACGUCCCACGGGAGAAAGCAGGGGAUCGCAAGACCUUGCGCCAAUGGAUGAGCCGAAGUCGGAUUAGCUAGUUGGAGGGUAACGGCCUACCAAGGCGACGAUCCGUAGCUGGUCUGAGAGGACGACCAGCCACACUGGGACUGAGACACGGCCCAGACUCCUACGGGAGGCAGCAGUGGGGAAUAUUGGACAAUGGGGGAAACCCUGAUCCAGCGACGCCGCGUGUGUGAAGAAGGCCUGCGGGUUGUAAAGCAC
RNAcentral lists this ribosomal RNA (404 nucleotides) under uncultured bacterium. Its description in RNAcentral is "bacterial SSU rRNA". It matches the Rfam family "Bacterial small subunit ribosomal RNA", at positions 29 to 433 of the family's 1533-position model. The record is from RNAcentral.